CUCAGAGGCUGCAGUCACCGCACGGCUAAAAGGUCCUUAAAGGGUUGUCUGUGCAAUGCGUGUUUUUCAAAAAGCCACUCAGGUGUGAUCAAGCAGAGGUAGAGUCUGGCAGCGUCGUCACGAAAACACAGCCUCGGCAUCGGCAGAAGCUGUCUACUGCACCAUCAAUCAGAUUUCCUCCACCAAGCGCUCCAUGCAGCCAGGAGGACUCAAAGUCCAUGUCACAUUGCCUUCUCUAGCUUCUUGUACCAAACAGCUUAUGCAACUUGACCGUGAGACACCAUCCAGGCAUUUGCAAGACUGAGCCCUCAAUCCUUCAACCAGGGUCUUGGGCAGAAAAAGGAUAAUCUUCACGUCUCAGAAAACCAUUUUGCAUGGAGCUUAAAAACGUGCAUCGCCUCCCAACCUUGUCUCGGCAUAUUUCACACUAAAAUGCUUUGUCCCUCUCUGUGCAUCUCUUUCUCAAUCUUCUCGUUUCAGUCCUUUUUUCUUACUAUCAGAAGAGGUUCCAUCAACAAUAUGCACCUUCAAAGGAUAAUGAGCUAGUAAUAUGUAGUAUGAGCAGCCGGUAUCAACAAGACUUAUUCAUAGACCCAGUGUGGCCUCUGACAUGUGUAUGCAAUCACUGCAGGUUAUCGGUGGCAGAAAUCCCCUCUAUCCCAAAUUGCUGUCCUCUGCCAUGGACAGCUGGAAUUAAUGAGGCAGUUUUUUUUUCAGGCAACAUGCAUGUGACAAAUGCCAAAUGACAAACCAUAGCUUGUGGUAACUGAAAAGUUCAUGCUGUAGAUAAAAAGAAUGUUCUAUCUAUUUACCUGUGUGACAUUUUUCAUUUUAGAAAUUGUGCAUCCAAGGUCUAAACCUACUGCUCUGUGCUUGCAUCAUUUAAACACUGUCUGGGUUUCUGCUGCUGCUUUUCAAUUCAGUCUGGCA
Scleropages formosus (Asian bonytongue) is the source of this 930-nucleotide long non-coding RNA. RefSeq lists it as uncharacterized. The record is from RefSeq and is a predicted model, not a curated record. The transcript is spliced from 3 exons. Lineage: Eukaryota; Metazoa; Chordata; Actinopteri; Osteoglossiformes; Osteoglossidae.